AACGCGAAGAACCUUACCUGGGUUUGACAUGUACCGGAAGGUCGUGGAGACGCGGCUGCCCUUGUGGCCGGUGCACAGGUGGUGCAUGGCUGUCGUCAGCUCGUGUCGUGAGAUGUUGGGUUAAGUCCCGCAACGAGCGCAACCCUUGUCCCGUGUUGCCAGCAAGUGAUGUUGGGGACUCGCGGGAGACUGCCGGGGUCAACUCGGAGGAAGGUGGGGACGAAGUCAAGUCAUCAUGCCCCUUAUGCCCAGGGCUUCACACAUGCUACAAUGGCCGGUACAGAGGGUGGCGAUGUCGUGAGGCGGAGCGAAUCCCUUAAAGCCGGUCUCAGUUCGGAUCGGGGUCUGCAACUCGACCCCGUGAAGGUGGAGUCGCUAGUAAUCGCAGAUCAGCAGUGCUGCGGUGAAUACGUUCCCGGGCCUUGUACACACCGCGAGC
This 439-nucleotide ribosomal RNA is filed under the name uncultured bacterium. RNAcentral describes it as "bacterial SSU rRNA". It matches the Rfam family "Bacterial small subunit ribosomal RNA", at positions 958 to 1397 of the family's 1533-position model. The record is from RNAcentral.